UUUGUGUAGAAGUCCAAAUUUCAUAGCAUACAUAGUGCACUAUGUAGGGAGUAAGGAGACAUUUGGGACUCAGCCAUAGUCUUUAGGGCUUUCUAAAAACAUUACGCACCGCCUUCCUGGCCUCCAUGGAAUAAAAUUCAACGAACUACUCAGGCUCUCCAUCACCACAUCCGGAGCUGAGAGAGCCGUACGGUGGAGUUAAACACUUCUCGCAAAGUGGCAGAGUAAGUCAUGCUGCCAGGAAAGACCGCCCUCAGCACCCCACCACACAGACACCACCCCUCAGACAAGUACUCACUACAGCAGUUUGAGCAGUUUCAGUCGGUCAGUCUAUGGACGUUUCAGUAAGUCUUUCUUGUAUGGUAACAGUAGUGAGAUCUGCAGCGGUUCAGAACUUUCCCCAACAGAUUUAAACCCACCGUUUAUCCUGGAUUCACACACAGCCUGAUUCUACAGCAGCUGACCGACCUCCUCCUUCAGUCACCUCGUCAUCAUGAACAGCGAAGACAAAAACAAAGAGGAGUGGAUUUCAGAACCCAUCUGUAAACAGCCACGGUCAUCAUGUUCACCGUGUCCACCAUGUGACUGCUCAUGUGCAGGAGAAGAUGGGGCGUGCUCACAUUUCUGUGAGAUUUGUGUAAACAGUUGCAGUGCUAUGUGUGUGUUGUUCCCCUUGUGACCAGUAGUGGCUAAUGCACCAAAGCUCCGAUGCAGAGAUUAAAAGAAAGCUGGAGCUUCAGGACUUUCAACUGGCUACUGGGAUGGAGCUUAGCACCUGUGAGCGAUGAGGAAUGCUCCCUACUGGCCACAGAAUUACCAUCUCACAUGAUAAAUUCAUCUCAUCAUACUGACAGCUAAAGAUAAUCAACAU
Long non-coding RNA from Colossoma macropomum (tambaqui), 871 nucleotides. RefSeq lists it as uncharacterized. The record is from RefSeq and is a predicted model, not a curated record. NCBI's taxonomy places the organism in Eukaryota, Metazoa, Chordata, Actinopteri, Characiformes, Serrasalmidae. The transcript is spliced from 4 exons.